RNAcentral lists this ribosomal RNA (482 nucleotides) under uncultured bacterium. RNAcentral describes it as "partial 16S ribosomal RNA". It matches the Rfam family "Bacterial small subunit ribosomal RNA", at positions 30 to 507 of the family's 1533-position model. The record is from RNAcentral.
AUUGAACGCUGGCGGCAUGCUUUACACAUGCAAGUCGAACGGUAACAGGCCGCAAGGUGCUGACGAGUGGCGAACGGGUGCGUAAUGCAUCGGAACGUGCCCAGUCGUGGGGGAUAACUACUCGAAAGAGUAGCUAAUACCGCAUACGAUCUAUGGAUGAAAGCGGGGGACCGCAAGGCAUCGCGCGAUUGGAGCGGCCGAUGUCAGAUUAGGUAGUUGGUGGGGUAAAGGCGCACCAAGCCAACGAUCUGUAGCUGGUCUGAGAGGACGACCAGCCACACUGGGACUGAGACACGGCCCAGACUCCUACGGGAGGCAGCAGUGGGGAAUUUUGGACAAUGGGCGCAAGCCUGAUCCAGCAAUGCCGCGUGCAGGAAGAAGGCCUUCGGGUUGUAAACUGCUUUUGUACGGAACGAAACGGCUCUGGUUAAUACCCGGGGCUAAUGACGGUACCGUAAGAAUAAGCACCGGCUAACUACGUG